Molecule: ribosomal RNA, 260 nt
Filed under: uncultured bacterium
Lineage: Bacteria
Description: partial 16S ribosomal RNA
Rfam family: Bacterial small subunit ribosomal RNA
Source: RNAcentral
CUUAGCGGCGGACGGGUGAGUAAUGCUUAGGAAUCUGCCUAUUAGUGGGGGACAACGUUUCGAAAGGAACGCUAAUACCGCAUACGUCCUACGGGAGAAAGCAGGGGAUCUUCGGACCUUGUGCUAAUAGAUGAGCCUAAGUCGGAUUAGCUAGUUGGUGGGGUAAAGGCCUACCAAGGCGACGAUCUGUAGCGGGUCUGAGAGGAUGAUCCGCCACACUGGGACUGAGACACGGCCCAGACUCCUACGGGAGGCAGCAG